UGGCCUUUCCAGGCCCAGCUCUUGCUUCACGGAGGUCAUCCCUGGCCAAGUUCCUGCCUACCUCCCAGCAGCCUUGACAGGCCCAGCUCCUGCCUCACACUGGCAUCAUUAGGCCCAGUUCAUGCCUCACGGUGGCCUCUCCAGGCCCAGUUCCUGCCCCUGACAGACUCUCUAGGCCAAAAUCUUCCUCAAGUCGGCCUCUCCAGGCCGAUCUCUUGUCACACUGGUCUCUUUAGGCCCAGCUCAUGCCUCUUGGCAGCCUCUUCAGGCCCAGCUUUUGUGUCCUGGCAGCCUCUCCAGGCCCAGCUCCUGCCUUCUGUCAGCCUCUACGGGCCCAAUAUCUGCCUCACAGCAGAUUCUCCAGGCCCAGCAUCUGCCUCACCGUGGCCCCCCACAAGCCAAGCGCCUGCCUUUCAGCAGCCUCUACACACCCAGCUCCUGCCACCCAAUGGCUCUUUAGGCCAAGCUCAUACCUCACGAUGAUUUUUCCAGGCCCAACUUUUGUCUCAUGGCAACCUUCCCUGGCCAAGUUUCCACCUAUUUCCUGGCAGCCUGGACAGGCCCAGGUCCUGCCACACACUGGCCUCUCUACGCCCAGCUCAUGCCUCACAGUGGCCUCUCCAGGCCCAGCUCCUGUCCCGGGACAUCAUCUCCAGGCCCAAAACUUCCUCAAGUCGGCCUCUCCAGGCCCAGUUGCUGCCUCCCGGCAUUCUCUCCAGGCCUAGCUCUUCCUCCUGGCUGUAUCUACAAGACCAACUCCUGCCUCACAACAACCUUUUAUGGCUCAGCUCCUGCCCAACUACUGCCGGCCUUUGUAGGCCCAAAACUUCCUCAAGUCAAGCUCUUUAGGCCCACCUUCUGCCUUGCAGUGGCCUGUACAGACCCAGCUCUGGCUUGAGAACAGCCUCUGCAGGCCCUGCUCUUGCCUCUUAGCUCCCUCUCCAGGCCCAUCUCUUGCCUCACAGUGGCUUCCGUGGGCCAAGUUCCCGCCUGCCUCCCAGCAGCCUCAACAGGCCUAGCUCCUCCCUCACAAUGGCUUGUUUAGGUCCAGUUGAUGCCUCUGGCAACCUGUCCAGGCCCAGCUCCUGCCUCACACUGGCCUCUCUAGGCCGAGGUCCUUUCUCAUACUGGCCUGUUUAGGCCCAGCUCAUUCCUCUUGUCAUCUCUCCAGGCCCAGCUUUUGCCUGUUGUUGGCCUCUACCUCACAGUGCACCUUCCAGUCCCACCUCUUGCCUCACCAUGGCCUCCUCUGACCAGGUUCCUGCCUUUCGGCAGCCUCUACAGGCCUAGCUGCUGCCUCCCAAUGGCCUUUGUAGGCCACGCUCAUGCCUCACUGUGGCCUUUCCAGGCCUAGCUUUCGCUUUUUGGCCACUCCAGGCCCAGAACUUCCCCCAGUCAGCCUCUCCAGGCCCAGCUCUUCCUCCCAGCAACCUCUGCAGGCCCAAAUCAUCCUCAAAUUGGCCUCUUCUUUCCCAGCUCCUGCCUCCUGGUGGCCUCUGAAGACCCAAAUCGUCCUCCAGUUGGUUUUUCCAGGCCCAGCUCCUGCCUUUUGGUGGCCUCUCCAGGUGCAAAACUUCCUCCCAUCAGCCUGUCCAGGCCCAGCUCAUGCCUCUUGGUGGCCUUCUCAGGCCCUGCUUUUGACUUGGUGGCCUCUUCAGGCCCAGAACUUGAACUCAAGUCAGCCUCUCCAGGCCCAGCUCCUGCCUUCUUAAGGUCUGUACAGGCCCAGCCUCUACCUCACAGCGGACUCUCCACACCCAGCUCUUGCCUCACUGUAGCCUCCCCAGUCCAAAACUCCUGCCUUUUGGCAGCUUCGACAAGCCCAGCUCCUGCCUUUCAAUGACCUCUUUAGGCCCCGCUCAUUCCUUACAACGGCCUUUCCAGGCCCAGUUUUUCCCUUUUGGCGGCCUCUCCAGGCCCAGAACUUCCUCAAGUCGGCCUCUUUAGGCCCAGUUGCUGCCUCCUGGCAUCCUCUGCAGGCCGAGCUCUUCCUCCCUGCUGUGUCUACAGGCCCAACUCCUGCCUCACAACAACCUCCUUGGACUCAGCUUCUGCCCAGCUCCUGGUGGCCUUUGUAGGCUCAAAAUUUUCUCAAAUCAAGCUCUCCAGGCCUACUGUCAGCCUCGUGGCAGCCUAAACAGGCCCAGCUCCUGCCUGACAAUGGCCUCUCCAGGCUUUUCUCCUGCCUCGCAGCAGGCUUUCCAGGCCCAGCUCUUGCCUCAUGGUGGCCUUCCCCGGCCAUGUUCCUAUCUGACUUCUGGCAGCCUCAACCGGCCCAGCUUCUGCCUCACACUGGCCUCUCUAGGCCCAGCUCCUUUUUCACAGUGGCCUCACUAGGCCCAUCUCCUACCUCAGAUCUGCCUCCCAAGACCCAGCUCCUGUCUCAUGGUGGUCUCUCUUACACCAGCUCCUGCCUCACAAUGGCCUCGUCUGGCCCAUCUUCUGCCUCACAGUGGCCACUCAAGGCCCAUCUUUUGCCUCAUGGUAGCCUCUUCUGGUUUUGCUCUUGCCUCACAGUUGCCUCUUCCAGAUCCAGCUUUAAGCCUUUGAUGGUCAACAGCAUCAAGGAGCCUAAAGCUUCCCUGGACUCUCAUUUGUUCACUUUACAGCAGAGUGCCUUAGCAAAAACUGUCUCUUAACCUUGAGAGUGGAUUUCUGACAAAUCGAUAGUAAAUUCUGCCUGUGUGGUUUCACAGUGA
This is a long non-coding RNA of Homo sapiens (human), 2699 nucleotides long. RefSeq annotates it as long independently transcribed non-coding RNA 3129. The record is from RefSeq and is a predicted model, not a curated record. The transcript has a single exon. The annotation marks the transcript as partial. Lineage: Eukaryota; Metazoa; Chordata; Mammalia; Primates; Hominidae.